GACGAACGCUGGCGGCGUGCCUAAUACAUGCAAGUCGAGCGAGCUUGCCUAGAUGAAUUUGGUGCUUGCACCAAAUGAAACUAGAUACAAGCGAGCGGCGGACGGGUGAGUAACACGUGGGUAACCUGCCCAAGAGACUGGGAUAACACCUGGAAACAGAUGCUAAUACCGGAUAACAACACUAGACGCAUGUCUAGAGUUUAAAAGAUGGUUCUGCUAUCACUCUUGGAUGGACCUGCGGUGCAUUAGCUAGUUGGUAAGGUGACGGCUUACCAAGGCAAUGAUGCAUAGCCGAGUUGAGAGACUGAUCGGCCACAUUGGGACUGAGACACGGCCCAAACUCCUACGGGAGGCAGCAGUAGGGAAUCUUCCACAAUGGACGCAAGUCUGAUGGAGCAACGCCGCGUGAGUGAAGAAGGGUUUCGGCUCGUAAAGCUCUGUUGGUAGUGAAGAAAGAUAGAGGUAGUAACGGGCCUUUAUUUGACGGUAAUUACUUAGAAAGUCACGGCUAACUACGUGCCAGCAGCCGCGGUAAUACGUAGGUGGCAAGCGUUGUCCGGAUUUAUUGGGCGUAAAGCGAGUGCAGGCGGUUCAAUAAGUCUGAUGUGAAAGCCUUCGGCUCAACCGGAGAAUUGCAUCAGAAACUGUUGAACUUGAGUGCAGAAGAGGAGAGUGGAACUCCAUGUGUAGCGGUGGAAUGCGUAGAUAUAUGGAAGAACACCAGUGGCGAAGGCGGCUCUCUGGUCUGCAACUGACGCUGAGGCUCGAAAGCAUGGGUAGCGAACAGG
RNAcentral lists this ribosomal RNA (788 nucleotides) under uncultured Lactobacillus sp. Its description in RNAcentral is "bacterial SSU rRNA". It matches the Rfam family "Bacterial small subunit ribosomal RNA", at positions 28 to 776 of the family's 1533-position model. The record is from RNAcentral. Lineage: Bacteria; Bacillati; Bacillota; Bacilli; Lactobacillales; Lactobacillaceae.